Molecule: ribosomal RNA, 497 nt
Filed under: uncultured bacterium
Lineage: Bacteria
Description: partial 16S ribosomal RNA
Rfam family: Bacterial small subunit ribosomal RNA
Source: RNAcentral
GAUGAACGCUGGCGGCGUGCCUAAUACAUGCAAGUCGAGCGAACAGACGAGGAGCUUGCUCCUCUGACGUUAGCGGCGGACGGGUGAGUAACACGUGUAUAACCUACCUAUAAGACUGGGAUAACUUCGGGAAACCGGCGCUAAUCCCGGAUAAUAUAUUGCACCGCAUUGUUCAAUAGUGAAAGACGGUUUUGCUGUCACUUCUCGAUGGAUCCGCGCCGCAUUAGCUGGUUGGUAAGGUAACAGCUUACCAAGGCAACGAUGCGUAGCCGACCUGACAGGGUGAUCGGCCACACUGGAACUGGGACACGGUCCAUGCUCCUACGGGAGGCAGCAGUAGGGAAUCUUCCGCAAUGGGCGGAAGCUUGACGGAGCAACGCCGCGUGAGAUAUGAAGGUGUUCGGAUCGUAAAACUCUGUUAUUAGGGAAGAACAAAUGUGUAAGUAACUAUGCACGUCUUGACGGUACCUAAUCAGAAAGCCACGGCUAACUACGUG